RNAcentral lists this ribosomal RNA (253 nucleotides) under uncultured bacterium. RNAcentral describes it as "partial 16S ribosomal RNA". It matches the Rfam family "Bacterial small subunit ribosomal RNA", at positions 524 to 776 of the family's 1533-position model. The record is from RNAcentral.
UACGGAGGGUGCAAGCGUUAUCCGGAUUCACUGGGUUUAAAGGGUGCGUAGGCGGGUAUAUAAGUCAGUGGGGAAAGCUCCGAGCUUAACUUGGAAACUGCCAUUGAUACUGUAUAUCUUGAAUGUCGUUGAGGUUAGCGGAAUGUUGCAUGUAGCGGUGAAAUGCUUAGAUAUGUUACAGAACACCAAUUGUGAAGACAGCUAACUAAGCGAUGAUUGACGCUGAGGCACGAAAGCGUGGGGAGCAAACAGG